UAAAUUGUUCAUUAAUUGUGAACUGGAAUGAAGGAAAAAAUAGUUUAAUUCUGUCUUAAAGUUAUUAAUCGAAUUUAAAUUUUUUAUAAAAAUGUAAAAAUAUAACUUAGGGACAAGAAGACCCUACAAAGCUUUUUUUUCUAUAUAUUUGUUUUCUAAUAUAUGAUUAAUUUGAUUGGGGCAAUAAUUUAUUAAUAAUAAAUAUAAAUUUAAUUAAAUAAUAAAAUUUUAAAAUAUUUUUGAUCCAUUAUUAAUGAAAGAUGAUUAAGUUACUUUAGGGAUAACAGGAUAAUUUUUAUUAGAAAGUUCUUAUUAAUAAUAAAGUUUAUUACCUCGAUGUUGAAUUAAUUUAAUUUAAUGGUGAAGUAACUUUUUGAGUUUGACUGUUCGUCAAUUAAAU
RNAcentral lists this ribosomal RNA (400 nucleotides) under Aoraki denticulata. Its description in RNAcentral is "partial 16S ribosomal RNA". The record is from RNAcentral. Lineage: Eukaryota; Metazoa; Arthropoda; Arachnida; Opiliones; Pettalidae.